RNAcentral lists this microRNA precursor (80 nucleotides) under Mus pahari (shrew mouse). RNAcentral describes it as "microRNA 3112 (MGP_PahariEiJ_G0007893.1)". Lineage: Eukaryota; Metazoa; Chordata; Mammalia; Rodentia; Muridae. The record is from RNAcentral.
CUAAAUAAACAGUGACGUAGAAAAGGCAAUCUGCAUUGAUUCUGGAGCUGCAGUGUGUCUUCUUUGUCUCUGUCACUUGG